AAAACACCUUGUAAAAUCAAAAACUAGAUCUCAUUCGUAUUUGUUCUUCUUCUCCUCUGUUUCUCGACCAGUUCUUCCUCUCUGCAACUAGAAAAAGAGUGGGUUUCCAUGAUAAUUCUUUUGAUUCUUCUUUUAUCACGACGAGUUAUUGAAGUUACUCACCAUGAAGACGGCUAUAAACAUUAAGAGUGAAGAAGAAUAGGAUUAUGAAUGGAUUUUGUGGUUAAGAAUAGCUUUGAUGGAGUUGUUGUUGUGGUUAAGAAUGAUUAGGCGGUGCUGCUUUGCUGUUGGUGGUGGUGGUGCUGCUUGUUGGUGGUGAGGAUGGGUAUUUAGAGUAACAGAUGGCUGAUUUAAUGAAGAUGGUAGUAAUUAUGUGGGAUGGAAGGAGCUGUUGUUGCAUCUUGAACUGGUGGUACUGUAGUUGGUUGAAGCACUGGUGCUGAUGAUGAUGCUUUUGCUACAAAAAUUGCAGGUCUCAGACUGGUAAUGCUAUUGGUAGAACUAUUGGUGUUGUAUGAGAUUGCAAUGGUUUGCUGAGAGAAUGGAACUGGUGAUGAUAAUUGUUGAUUGCAAUGGUGAUUAAUUUGAAAUGAUGAAGCUGUUGCUGGUGAAAUUGAGAAUCAGAUGAAGAAAUGGAGGUUUUGGUUGCUGCUGUUAGUUGUAGCUGAAUGUGUAGAACAGGGUAUGAGUUGUAGAGCUUGGUGUUGAACUGUGGUUGCAGAUGCAGAUGUUUGAAUGGCUUGGGUUGAGGCUUUGUGUAACAGAUGACUGAAGUAAUGGAGAAGAUGGCGCCGAAAAUUCAGCCCAGUUCAGGAUCGUGGCACCAUAUUCAAUCAAGGGUUCACCACUUCUUCUCUUGGGGUAUAGCGACCGCCAACACCACCACCACCACCAUCGCUAUCACCACUUCAUUAGCAUCACCUCAACAACUGAAGAGGGGUAUUUGGGACAAAACUCAUACCGUUUUUCCAAAAACAGUCAAGUCGGAUGGAGAAAGAUCUUUCUGUAAUCACUAAUUUAAAGUAUGAUUUUGUAAAACAAAUUAAGAAAGUGUGACUAUUCUGUAAAACACCCUAACAUAAAACAAAACCCGACACGUUCUUGAUAUUCUUCUCCA
RNA transcript from Papaver somniferum (opium poppy), 1117 nucleotides. RefSeq lists it as uncharacterized. The transcript is spliced from 2 exons. NCBI's taxonomy places the organism in Eukaryota, Viridiplantae, Streptophyta, Magnoliopsida, Ranunculales, Papaveraceae. The record is from RefSeq and is a predicted model, not a curated record.